GAUGAACGCUGACAGAAUGCUUAACACAUGCAAGUCAACUUGAACUUCGGUUUGGGUGGCGGACGGGUGAGUAACGCGUAAAGAACUUGCCUCACAGAUAGGGACAACAUUUGGAAACGAAUGCUAAUACCUGAUAUUAUGAUUAUAUGGCAUCGUAUAAUUAUGAAAGCUAUAUGCGCUGUGAGAGAGCUUUGCGUCCCAUUAGCUAGUUGGAGAGGUAACGGCUCACCAAGGCGAUGAUGGGUAGCCGGCCUGAGAGGGUGAUCGGCCACAAGGGGACUGAGACACGGCCCUUACUCCUACGGGAGGCAGCAGUGGAGAAUAUUGGACAAUGGACCAAGAGUCUGAUCCAGCAAUUCUGUGUGCACGAUGAAGUUUUUCGGAAUGUAAAGUGCUUUCAGUUGGGAAGAAAAAAAUGACGGUACCAACAGAAGAAGUGACGGCUAAAUACGUG
This 454-nucleotide ribosomal RNA is filed under the name uncultured bacterium. Its description in RNAcentral is "partial 16S ribosomal RNA". It matches the Rfam family "Bacterial small subunit ribosomal RNA", at positions 28 to 507 of the family's 1533-position model. The record is from RNAcentral.